UAGAGUGCUUGGGAAAGGGAGUCUUAAAUACCUGUGUAUAACGUGCCACUUCUGGCACACCAGUACGCAAAAUUUUGUGGGUUAACCAAACUUUUUUGUACAAACAUGUUCGUCUACCUCCUGUUUAUAUUCAUUUCCUGUGACACAGCCUUUUCCUCAAACCCUCGUGCUAGUAAGUAUAGCAGUGUCUAGCUUACAUGAGUUAAUCUCAAGUGGAUAUUUAAAGGAUUAGGCUCUGAUUAAAAGUCAACUGAUUCUAUACUUUAGGUGGUAGGGUGACUCAGAAUGCCUUUGUCAGAUGUCUUUAACCUCUCCAGCUGUCCUGUCAUUGAGGAUGAGUCAGAAGCUGGAGUCCUACAACUAACACUAAAUCUGGAAGGCUCAACUGUUAGCAUAACUGAUUUGACAACCUGGGGGAGGAUGCGGACUCGUGUGUUACUGAGGUGACAGCAGCCUUUCCAGAGUGUUGCCAGCAUCUUUCAGGGAAAAGAAGAGAAUCUCAGUCUUUUGUUUUAUUCUACACUUGAUAGGAAAAACAAUCUUUUCUAGGACAAGUGGGCUGACAGUGGUCUGGUAGAAGAAACAGUAUUCAGAGGGAACUUCUUAGGCUGGUUGUGCAAUGAACGUUUUGUGCAUUUUCUUUGAAAAAACGGUAAGUCUGGUAUUUUUGGGAAAGUAAGGAGCUCAUAUAUUCAGUCCUGAUGUAUUCAUACCUGUGUCAUCCACCACGAAGAGGACAAAGAGAGGCUCCCUUAGGAACCCUGGGCAGAAUGAUGAUGGCACUAAGCUGUAGUUAAAAUUCAAGCUCUAUUUUCUUAACAGGGUAUUAUGAUUACUAUAGCACAGAAUUUAUGAUUAGAAGGGCACAGGAUUUCUACAAGCAGAAUCUUACGUAGUACAACUUGUGAGUAGCAUAAUCCAGCAUUUGUAAUACAACUUAAUUUACAAUUUCUAAUCACCUGCACCCUCUGCAGGUCAGGUCAAACCUUAAGGCAUGCUUUGCUGUAUCAAAGUAACAACCGUAAUCUAGACUUGAACAUCAUAAUAAAGCAUACAAGUCACUCCCUCGGUGCUGGGUGGAAGCAGACAGCAGUGCAGGUGUCCCUGGUCACUGGGGGCCCCAGGUCUCACUGUCCAGCAGUGGUUCAGGCCCAAGUUCUUCCCCAGUUAGGGCUUGUAUCAGCUUGGUUUUACAGACAGUGCUGUGCACACUGUUACACUUCCCUGUUCUGUGGUGGGAGCAUCAACAGCACUUUGCUGGCUGUGUGCCUGGGCCCUUCAAGGCUGGCAAGGAGGGGAGUUACCGGCCUGGUGCCCAGGAACAUUCAGGCUGGGAGGGAGAGGACAAAGAAAUGUGUUUGUCUUGUCUACUUGGUUCACAGGACCUUCAAGGCCUGAUAACGAGAGAAAAGGGACAAAAACGUGAUCCGCUUAGUCACAGAAUGGCUGCUUGCCUUAUAAAAUGGCAUUAGUUAUGUUAAACAUAUGACCAGGGGUCAGGAGCAGGGAGUAACAGUCACACACCUGAUGCUAAUUUUGGUAGCACUGUCCUGUAGAUACUAAGUAGAAACACUGCUCCUUACAAUGAACAUUUUACAAUGAACAUUUUAAAAAAAGACAUCCUGUAAGUCAUCCUGUGUAUACUGUGGUUUGAGUCCCCAUGUCAGAUUUCUGGCCUUCCCUGCCUUUGAGCCUUCCAAAGGAGAGCUCUGCGCUUCUUGGUCACCUGGCAACUAUGUACACAAUACGAGAGCACAUGAUUUUUCUCUUUUCAAGUGACGUCAUCUUGAUUUUAGCCAUAGUUACAAACAGCUAUUGUCAGGUUAUAGAUGUUUUGUUUUGUUUUGUUUUUUUUCCCAGAGAAACUCCACAGAUCUAAGAGCAAGUUUUCAUAAACUUGAAAUGAAAUAUAACUAGACUUGUUAUUUUAGGUCUACAGGCAUACAGCAACAUUGGGGUUUUUGUGUUUUGUUGAUGAUUACUCUGGCUGCAUGUUUGACUGCGUUUGUGGUUUAGUUUUUCUUUAGUGUUUAUUACAUGAACAAUGCUUUCAUUUUACUUCCACAAUAUCUCCUACAGGCUUCAACAGAAAUGUAUACAGGAACAGUAUCCUAGUUCUAUAAUGCCAUUUGGAUUGUCUUAAAAUACAGCUUUUACAGUGUUAAUCCUAAAAUUUUCACUGUUUUUAAAGGUUUUUUUUAAAACAAGCCUGAUUAGAUUUGGAAUUCUCUGAACAGUUGUGAAAAUAAACUAGUGUCUGUAAUCGAGUUGCUAAACUUGGGGUCUGCUGUAGUCAGGAUCAGAAUAAAACAAACUGCAAUAAAAAUGUUCAUUAACCAGAAAAUAGUAUCUUGCCAAACCAAGACUUUUAAGAAUGAGAGAAACUGGCUAUCUAAAAAGGCAGAAUAUCUCUGUGUAAAAGCUUGCUAAAGAAGCAAUUUAUGGGACUGGAUAAAUCUUUUAAUAAUUAAUUUUUUUUCUCAGAGCAGAUGCAACUUCCCUGGAAGGGGUAGGGGAGGUAUGUAAGAAACAGAGCACACAGGGGUAAGAAAUUAUAAGCACACAGCGGUAUUUUAAGACUGGGCAAGGAUACGCUCUACAGAAAAUACCCCUGAUGUUUUCUGCAACUUAAAGUGUUUUCAUAGAAUCAAUCAUAGAAUGCUAGGGGUUGGAAGGGACCUUAAGCAAUCAUCUAGUCCACUAAGAGUUACUGUAUGUUUGGAUUUAAUUCCUGCAUUUAUUUUCACUAUUGGAAAAAACUUAAAACUGUUUUAAAGUAUGGGAUUUUUUUCCAUGUCUGAAAUUUUGCACUGUGAUGCCACAUACAGCUCACCCAGGUUUACCUUCUCUUACCAGAACACAUCUGUCCAAUACAGAUUGGUUACUCGGGCAUUGGAAUAGAAGCUGUGAAAAUGAAGAACAUCUACACCUGUCUGUGAUCAGGAAAAUAGCAAGCACUUGGAAUAUGCUUUAAUCCGUGCUUCAUCUGAUGAUUUAAAGUAUUUGGAAACAGUGUUGUCUUGCUUUUAUUGUACAUCUACCUCUCUUCAUAAAUCCUCCACUGAGUGGAAAGAAUCUCAAGGAAUCUGAACAAAUGGGCAUUAGCAUGAGGAGAGAGAUGACGUGACAGACUCCACAACAACAGAGCGAGUGGAUUUUGUCCAUUCAGAUCAUAUCUCUGAAUGGCUUUGAGCAGAAAACUAAUUAAAUAUCAUUUAUUCUUGAAAAUAAACUUCGUUUUAAAACUCUAAGAACACCAUUAAUUUUACAUGUCAAGUAUACAGUUAAAGUUUGUCACUGGUGCUUUGUGAAGAAAUUCUACUGUCCUUAUGCUUUUGAAAAGAGUAAACCAAUGCGAGGGAUGUUCUUCUUUGAAGAAAGCUUUCCCAGACUCUCAAGUUGAACUAAUGACUGGAAUGUGAAAUAGCAUGGAAUGGAGCCUUUGAAUAACUAAAUCAUGGAUGUGUUACGUGCUUGUUAAACUAGGUUCAGCACUUUUUCAUGCCUUAGUUUGGUUUAUGAGCUCUUCAUUGCCAUAAUACUCAUAACUUUGUUAUGAAUCCAACUUGAAAAAACAAAAUCUUGAAAAAAUGUGCUAACAGUUCGUUGUGUCUACUUCUCAUUUUGGAAUAAACCAGUGUUAAGUUUGGAUGACC
Long non-coding RNA from Colius striatus (speckled mousebird), 3656 nucleotides. RefSeq lists it as uncharacterized. NCBI's taxonomy places the organism in Eukaryota, Metazoa, Chordata, Aves, Coliiformes, Coliidae. The transcript has 3 exons. The record is from RefSeq and is a predicted model, not a curated record.